AAACUAACAAGGAUUCCCCUAGUAACGGCGAGUGAAGCGGGAAAAGCUCAAAUUUGAAAUCUGGUAGCCUCAGGCUGCCCGAGUUGUAAUCUAUAGAAACGUUUUCCGCGCUGGCCCAUGUACAAGUCUCCUGGAAUGGAGCGUCAUAGAGGGUGAGAAUCCCGUCCUUGACAUGGACUACCAGUGCUUUGUGAUACGUUUUCAAAGAGUCGAGUUGUUUGGGAAUGCAGCUCAAAAUGGGUGGUAAAUUCCAUCUAAAGCUAAAUAUUGGCGAGAGACCGAUAGCGAACAAGUACCGUGAGGGAAAGAUGAAAAGCACUUUGGAAAGAGAGUUAAACAGUAUGUGAAAUUGUUGAAAGGGAAACGAUUGAAGUCAGUCAUGUCUAUUGGACUCAGCCGGUUCUGCCGGUGUACUUCCUUUAGAUGGGGUCAACAUCAGUUUUGAUCGCUGGAAAAGGGCAGGAGGAAUGUAGCACUCUCGGGUGAACUUAUAGCCUCCUGUCGUAUACAGUGGUUGGGACUGAGGAACGCAGCAUGCCUUU
RNAcentral lists this ribosomal RNA (542 nucleotides) under Solicoccozyma phenolica. RNAcentral's name for it is "partial large subunit ribosomal RNA". It matches the Rfam family "Eukaryotic large subunit ribosomal RNA", at positions 62 to 608 of the family's 3401-position model. Lineage: Eukaryota; Fungi; Basidiomycota; Tremellomycetes; Filobasidiales; Piskurozymaceae. The record is from RNAcentral.